CGAGGCCCCCGCCGACGUCUC
RNAcentral lists this non-coding RNA (21 nucleotides) under Arabidopsis thaliana (thale cress). Lineage: Eukaryota; Viridiplantae; Streptophyta; Magnoliopsida; Brassicales; Brassicaceae. The record is from RNAcentral.